UCAACGUGUAAUAUCUGCGGCAACGCGGCGGAGGAUGAACAUCAUGCAGUGAUCACAUGCUCAAAGAGCAGGGCCCUCCGAGAGGCCAUGAGGAAGGAGUGGACACUACCAUCAGAGAAAUCUUUCAGAAAUACAGGAACUGACUGGCUGCAGGUCCUGCUAGACAGAGAACCUGAGGAAAUGCGGUCAAAAAUCUUACUCCUGUUAUGGAGGUGCUGGCACCUGAGAGAUGACAUGUUACGACACAACGGCAAAGAAUCUAUCUUAGGCUCUGUACAAUUCCUAAAGAAAUACGUCGAGGAAUUAGUUACAGCGGCAAUGGCUGAUAAUGUGCCCAGGAUUGGAGAGGCGGAUAAUACAUGCUGCAUACGGGGACAAAGCAUGCAGUGGACGGGACCAGUACAAGGCACGGUUAAGCUGAAUACCGACGCAGCUUUCCAAGCCGAUUCAGGCGAAUCCGCUGCUGGAGCAGUCGCCAGGGACAGCAAAGGCCAUGUGGUUGUCUCACUCUGGAAGCCUGUCAGCUAG
Molecule: ribosomal RNA, 528 nt
Filed under: Triticum aestivum (bread wheat)
Lineage: Eukaryota; Viridiplantae; Streptophyta; Magnoliopsida; Poales; Poaceae
Description: partial small subunit ribosomal RNA
Source: RNAcentral